ACUUUUCGAGCAUGUUUAGGCCCUUUAAAAAUGCGAUUCAUUUUGGAGAAGAAUAAUAAUAAUAAUAAUUAAAGCUGCAAGCAGCGAUGAACGGGCCCUCGCACCCGGGCUCACCACCACCGCGUGGCUUUUGUAAAACAGCGAACGGUGAGAAAUAUGCGUUUAAUGUGGUAAAUAGAAAUAUGGCAAAGUCAUUUAUAUGUGCCAAUCUUCCUGCUGCCAGCUGGUGGCGCUAUGACUAUAACUGGAUUUUGUCAUGUAGAUUUCUUCAGUCCAGCACUUUUAUCAAGCAUAUGAAAUUUAGUGCAGAUUGAACAUGGAAUGUUUGAGUUAGUAUAAAGCAUGUUGUGUCCUAUUGCCAACAGGUGGCGCUAUGAUUAUAACUGAACAUUGACCUUCAGAUGUGUUCAGGCCAAGACUCUUUUCGAACAUGUGAAGUUUGGGGAAAGAUCGGACAUCUUAUGCCUGAGUUACAACAACUUCUAUUCCCAUGGCGAGACAUCGAACUUUGUCACGGCGCCAUGGCCACACCCUUUAAUGAAAACCUCAAGAUGUUCACAAUUUAACAUCGCAAAGGCCUUUAGAUUAGACUGACCAAAAAUUAUAAAAUGUCAUAAAAAUUUCUAGGAGUAGUUUGUUACAGCGUAAAACAUGUCACUUCCUGUUGCCAGCAGGUGGCGCUAUAGCGAUAUCUGAAUAUUGGGCAUGUAGAUAUGUUCAGGUCAGGAGUCUUCUCAAACAUGUGAAGUUUGGGGGCAGAUUGGACAUUGUAUGUCUGAGUUAUAGCAACUUCCUUUCUCAUGGCAAAACAUCGAAAUUUGUAAGGCCGCCACAGACACGCCCUUAAACGAAACCUCAAGAUCUUCGCAAUUUAACAUCGCAAAGGCCUUUAGAUUACACUGACAAAGUUUGAUGUUGAUCUGAAUAAAUCUCUAGGAGGAGUUUGUUAAAGUACAACCCCUGAAAAUGGCAAAAACGACACAAAUUUUGCAGAGAAAAUUCAAAAAUAACUGACUUCCUGUUGGGAUUCGAAUUUCGUACCAAGAGACUUUUUUGUAGGUAUUGGUGUGUUAAAUGUAUGUACCGAUUUUUGUACAUGUACGUAUAACGUAGCUCGAGGCGCACUCCGUUGAAAAUGUAUAGGUGGCGCUAUCGAGGCAUUUUGCCACACCCAAUGGAAUAUUGGCCUUCAGAUGUGUUCAGACCAGGACUCUUAUCAAACAUGUGAAGUUUGGGCAAGAUCGGACAUUUUAUGCCUGAGUUACAAUAACUUUUAUUCCCAUGGCGAGACAUCGAACUUUGUGACGGCGCCACGGACACGGCCUUUUUACGAAAACUCAAGAUCUCCACAAUUUAACAUCGCACAGGCCUUUAGAAUAGAGUGACUGAAAAAAAAUAUUUAUGUCAUAAAAUUUCUCGGGGUAGUUUGUUACAGCGUAAAAUAUGUCACUUCCUGUUGCCAAUAGGUGGCGCUAUGACUAUAACUGAAUAUAAGCAUGUCAAUCUGUUCAGGUCAGGAGUCUUAUCAAACAUGUGAAGUUUGUGGAAGAUUGGACAUUGUAUGUCUGAGUUAUAGCAACUUCAUUUUUCAUGGCGAAUCAUCGAAAUUCGUCAGGCCGCCAUGGACACGCCCUUCAACGAAAACUCAAGAUCUUCGCAAUUUAACAUCGCAAAGGCCUUUAGAUUAGGCAUACUAAAUUUGGUGUUGAUCUGAAUUAAUCUCUAGGUGGAGUUCGUUAAAAUACAAGGCAUGCAAAUGACAAAAAUGAUGCAAAAUUUGCUCAUAAAAUUAAAAAUAACCGACUUCCUGUUGGGUUUCGGAUAUUGCUCCAAGAGUCUUUUUUUGUAGGUACUGAUGCUUUACAUAUGUGUGCCAAUUUUCGUGCAUGUACGUGAAACACAGCUCGAGGGCUGUUGAUUUUUUUACGAUAGGUGGCGCUGUCGAGCCAUUUUGCCACACCCUCUUCUGAAACCUAUAUCAGAUGUAAAUUUUCACCAGGUCUGACGCGUGUGCAAAGUUUCAGGACUUUUCGAGCAUGUUUAGGCCCUCAAAAAUGCGAUUCAUUUUGGAGAAGAAGAAGAAGAAUAAACGAAGCAGAUACAAGAGGGUCCUCACACCAUCGGUGCUCGGGCCCUAAUUAAAGCUGCAAGCAGCGAUGAACGGGCCCUCGCACCCGGGACUCACCACCACCGAGCGGCUUUUUGUAAAAAAGGC
Molecule: long non-coding RNA, 2215 nt
Organism: Cyprinus carpio carpio
Lineage: Eukaryota; Metazoa; Chordata; Actinopteri; Cypriniformes; Cyprinidae
Source: Ensembl